CGCGCAGGCGGUCGUUCAAGUCGAGUGUGAAAGUCCCCGGCUCAACUGGGGAGGGUCACUUGAUACUGAUCGACUGGAAGGCAGGAGAGGGAAGCGGAAUUCCCGGUGUAGUGGUGAAAUGCGUAGAUAUCGGGAGGAACACCAGUGGCGAAGGCGGCUUCCUGGCCUGUUCUUGACGCUGAGGCGCGAAAGCUAGGGGAGCAAACG
This 207-nucleotide ribosomal RNA is filed under the name uncultured bacterium. Its description in RNAcentral is "partial 16S ribosomal RNA". It matches the Rfam family "Bacterial small subunit ribosomal RNA", at positions 568 to 774 of the family's 1533-position model. The record is from RNAcentral.